Cephus cinctus (wheat stem sawfly) is the source of this 529-nucleotide long non-coding RNA. RefSeq lists it as uncharacterized. The record is from RefSeq and is a predicted model, not a curated record. The transcript has 3 exons. NCBI's taxonomy places the organism in Eukaryota, Metazoa, Arthropoda, Insecta, Hymenoptera, Cephidae.
AUGGCAAGUACAAUAUAUAAGAGAAUUUGUACGAUCAAUUCUGAUCAAUACUUUGAAUACCAAGAAAGUCAAUUCAAAGUGUUGGCUGAAUAUGGAGAUAUUCUUUGGCACAUUAUGGUCCACAUAGAUGACACGGUUUCCAAUGUUGAUGGGCAAUGUGUAAUUUGAGGACAUCAGCACAAUCAGUCCAUCAACUAAAUCUGAGACAUACUGAAACGAUCUUGUUUGAUGUCCGUCGCCAUAAAUAGUGAUGGAGUCGUUUUGUAAAGCUUGAAGAAUAAAAUUCGAAACAACGCGACCGUCGUUCAUGUGCAUUCGCGGUCCAAACGUGUUAAAUAUCCUAGCAACUCUUACGGAAACACCUUCUUGCCGCAUUUUUUAUAGUUUUCACUGGAUUUAACAUAUAAUGUGGAGGACUGGCUGGACUGGCAAGGUGAUAAAUUUCAUCGACUUCAAGAUAAAGUGGUCUCACUAUAUCAUGAUGAACAAGCUCAAAAUUUUCAUGGCCAAUCCAGUGUUCCACGUUUCG